UACGAGGGGGGCAAGCGUUGUUCGGAAUUAUUGGGCGUAAAGGGUGCGUAGGCGGUCUGAUAAGUCAUCUGUGAAAUCUAUGGGCUCAACCCAUAGUCUGCAGGCGAAACUGUCGGGCUUGAGUAUGGGAGAGGUGAGUGGAAUUUCCGGUGUAGCGGUGAAAUGCGUAGAUAUCGGAAGGAACACCUGUGGCGAAAGCGGCUCACUGGACCAUUACUGACGCUGAUGCACGAAAGCUAGGGGGAGCAAACAGG
RNAcentral lists this ribosomal RNA (254 nucleotides) under uncultured bacterium. RNAcentral describes it as "partial 16S ribosomal RNA". It matches the Rfam family "Bacterial small subunit ribosomal RNA", at positions 524 to 776 of the family's 1533-position model. The record is from RNAcentral.